AUGAUUGUCAAUUUGUCCAUUUACUUAAAAAUCGGAUCUAGUGUAGCACUCUUGUUUGAGUGUUGCAUUCAGCAAUGAAUUUGAUGAAUACCGUAAUGGUGGGUGACAAUCUGAUCUGUUGGGAGGAGAAGUAUUUCGCAUCUACUCUAGCCAGGUGUCCGUGAAAAGGGAUCUGGAGUCGUGUGAGUUGUCCGUACCGAGAUCUGACACAGGUGCCCCUAGGUGAGUAGCCUAAGGCGUCGCGGCAGAAUCCGGGCGAGGGAAUUCGGCAAAUUAGCCCCGUACCUUCGGUAUAAGGGGUGCCAGCUCUGUAGAGAGCUGGUCGCAGUGACUAGGGAGCUCCGACUGUUUACUAAAAACACAGGUGGCUGCUAGUCCGUAAGGAUGUGUAUAGCCGCUGAAUCCUGCCCAGUGGCGGUAUCUGAAACCCGGUUACAACCGGACGAAGGACCGCUAAACGGCGGGGGUAACUAUGACCCUCUUAAGGUAGCGUAAUACCUUGUCGCUUAAUUGGCGACUUGCACGAAUGGCCUAACGAGAGCUCUACUGUCCCCGCCCGGAGCCCGAUGAAAUUGACUUACUGGCGCACAGUCCAGUACGUCCCAGCCGCAAGCGAAGACCCCGUGGAGCUUUACUGCAACCUGCCGUUGUGGCACGAGUUGUUUUGUGUAGAGUAGACGGGAGACAUUACACAGGUGCGAGCGCUAGCUCGUCGCCGAGUCAUUGAUGAAACACCGUCCUUUUCGAUUCGUCCCACUCACCUCUUCGGAGGAACCCCGGUAGGCGGGCAGUUUGGGUGGGGCGCCACUCCCUCGAAAAUUUAACAAGGGAGCCCAAAGGUCAGCUUAGGUAGGUCAGAAAUCUACCGUUAAGCGCAAGGGCAAAAGCUGGCUUGACGUGGUUUGGCAACACAACAAACCACGAUGCGAAAGCAGGGCCUAGCGAACCAACCAGCGCCGUUAGUAGGUGCGGUUGAUAACAGAAAAGUUACCCCGGGGAUAACUGAGUUGUCUGGAGCAAGAGCCCACAUCGACCUCCAGGCUUGCUACUUCGAUGUCGUCUCUUCCUAUCCUGGGUGUGCAGAAGCACCCAAGGGUGGGGUUGUUCGCCCAUUAAAAGGGAUCGUGAGAUGGGUUUAGACCGUCGUGAGACAGGUUUGUUGCUUUGCGGUUGAGGCGUGUAAGAUGCCUGAUCGGAAGGGUCCUUUAGUACGAGAGGAACGAGGACUCGGAGCCACUAGUUUACCAGUUGUCCGGCAGGGCAAUGCUGGGUAGCCACGCUCCAUGUGGAUAAGAGCUGAAAGCAUCUAAGCUCGAAGUCACCCGAAAGACGAGGCAUCUCAGGGGACUCGUAGAAGACGAGUUUGAUAGACAGCGGGUGUAAGCACCGAGGUUCGCCGAGGUGUUCAGCCCAGCUGCACUAACCCCCCGAGCAUUCAUU
RNAcentral lists this ribosomal RNA (1440 nucleotides) under marine metagenome. Its description in RNAcentral is "bacterial LSU rRNA". It matches the Rfam family "Archaeal large subunit ribosomal RNA", at positions 1546 to 2987 of the family's 2987-position model. The record is from RNAcentral.